UUUAACCCGUGCUCAAAGAAUUCAAAUGUCAUCUCCUUAAUCUCUCUCCCUCCACCGCGCCGGAGCUCACUGUCGGUGGCGGUUGAGCAUCACGUCGUGAAAAUAACAUACAGAAACAAUCGGAAUUUCAUGUUGAGUCUAAAUCCACAAGCGAAAUCAACUAAUAAAUUCUUAAAUCUCCAGAUCGAAAGGAAAAAUGAAAGAACCCUAAGUCUCUCAACAAAAAUUAAAUGGAGCAUAGCAAGAAUCAUAGCCCUAGGUGUUAGGGUUUUGGUUUAUCUCAACACAAGCUACAUUUUGUUGUAACUUACUUAAAGCAAAUUGACGAAGUUUAAAAUAUGCACUCACUGGAGAAAGCGCCAGAAAUUAAAGGUAAUCUCUCUGAAACUUCUCGUAUCUUCCUCUCUUUGCUUCUUCUUCUUAUAAACUUCUUCUGAAACUCAGAAUCGAGUGAAUGGAAGAUGAUUUCAAGAGGGAGAGAAAUUCUGAGCUCUGAGAUUUCAUAAGAGAAUAAUUUGAGAGCGAUUGAAGAUUGAAAAUGAUUGAAGAUUCGAGAUCCUUGAAUGAAUGAGGGUGAAGGGAAUUUAUAGAGGAUGAACUUCACGGAUCUGUUUUCUUUGUUAGCUCGUAGAAGUGAGAAUCGGUUGGCAGUUAGACACGGGGUUAAAAGUUAGUUGAACUAGCUACAACUGGAUUCAGUUAGUUAGAAAAUGAGGUUGAAUGGUUUUAACUGAUUUUUGAAUGAAAACAUUUUUCUGCAACUUCUGUUAAUUGAGUAAAUUCAUUUUCAAUUUUAUGUUAAUGCAGUUAGUUAUUUUAGCUGAUUGGAAAUGUUAGAUUAGAUUAGUUAAAAAUGUGAAUUAAUGUAUGUUAAUGAUGGUUAAUUAUUGAAUGAAGUUAGUCAAAAUGAUUUGCUCGAUUUCUGCAUUUAGUCUGCUAUGUUCUAUGAUGAUGCAGCAUUGCUGUUAAGGCAAACUGAAUGGAAUGUAAGUGAUGAUGUGUUAAUGUGCAUGUUGAUU
Molecule: long non-coding RNA, 1019 nt
Filed under: Lathyrus oleraceus (garden pea)
Lineage: Eukaryota; Viridiplantae; Streptophyta; Magnoliopsida; Fabales; Fabaceae
Description: Pisum sativum (pea) long non-coding RNA (PSAT_LNC031925)
Source: RNAcentral